RNAcentral lists this ribosomal RNA (427 nucleotides) under uncultured bacterium. RNAcentral's name for it is "partial 16S ribosomal RNA". It matches the Rfam family "Bacterial small subunit ribosomal RNA", at positions 355 to 769 of the family's 1533-position model. The record is from RNAcentral.
UGGGGAAUUUUGGACAAUGGGGGAAACCCUGAUCCAGCCAUCCCGCGGUGUGCGAUGAAGGCCUUCGGGUUGUAAAGCACUUUUGGCAGGAAAGAAACGUCGCGGGUUAAUACCCCGCGGAACUGACGGUACCUGCAGAAUAAGCACCGGGCUAACUACGUGCCAGCAGCCGCGGUAAUACGUAGGGUGCAAGCGUUAAUCGGAAUUACUGGGCGUAAAGCGUGCGCAGGCGGUCCGGAAAGAAAGAUGUGAAAUCCCAGAGCUUAACUUUGGAACUGCAUUUUUAACUACCGGGCUAGAGUGUGUCAGAGGGAGGUGGAAUUCCGCGUGUAGCAGUGAAAUGCGUAGAUAUGCGGAGGAAUACACCGGAUGGCGAAGGCAGCCUCCUGGGAUAACACUGACGCUCAUGCACGAAAGCGUGGGGAGC